GUGGGGAAUAUUGGACAAUGGGCGCAAGCCUGAUCCAGCAAUGCCGCGUGCAGGAAGAAGGCCUUCGGGUUGUAAACUGCUUUUGUACGGAACGAAACGGUCCGGGUUAAUACCCUGGGCUAAUGACGGUACCGUAAGAAUAAGCACCGGCUAACUACGUGCCAGCAGCCGCGGUAAUACGUAGGGUGCAAGCGUUAAUCGGAAUUACUGGGCGUAAAGCGUGCGCAGGCGGUUUUGUAAGACAGGCGUGAAAUCCCCGGGCUCAACCUGGGAAUUGCGCUUGUGACUGCAAGGCUGGAGUGCGGCAGAGGGGGAUGGAAUUCCGCGUGUAGCAGUGAAAUGCGUAGAUAUGCGGAGGAACACCGAUGGCGAAGGCAAUCCCCUGGGCCUGCACUGACGCUCAUGCACGAAAGCGUGGGGAGCAAACAGGAUUAGAUACCCCGGUAGUCC
Molecule: ribosomal RNA, 450 nt
Filed under: uncultured bacterium
Lineage: Bacteria
Description: partial 16S ribosomal RNA
Rfam family: Bacterial small subunit ribosomal RNA
Source: RNAcentral